Molecule: transfer RNA, 72 nt
Filed under: Heterocephalus glaber (naked mole-rat)
Lineage: Eukaryota; Metazoa; Chordata; Mammalia; Rodentia; Bathyergidae
Rfam family: tRNA
About the family: Transfer RNA (tRNA) molecules are approximately 80 nucleotides in length. Their secondary structure includes four short double-helical elements and three loops (D, anti-codon, and T loops). Further hydrogen bonds mediate the characteristic L-shaped molecular structure. tRNAs have two regions of fundamental functional importance: the anti-codon, which is responsible for specific mRNA codon recognition, and the 3' end, to which the tRNAs corresponding amino acid is attached (by aminoacyl-tRNA synthetases). tRNAs cope with the degeneracy of the genetic code in two manners: having more than one tRNA (with a specific anti-codon) for a particular amino acid; and 'wobble' base-pairing, i.e. permitting non-standard base-pairing at the 3rd anti-codon position.
Source: Rfam by way of RNAcentral
GGGGGUGUAGCUCAGUGAUAGAGCGCUUGCCUAGCAUGUGUGAGGCCCUGGGUUCCAUCCCCAGCACUGCAA